UUCGGAAUUACUGGGCGUAAAGCGCACGUAGGCGGACCAUCAAGUCGGGGGUGAAAUCCCGGGGCUCAACCCCGGAACUGCCUCCGAAACUGCUGGUCUGGAGGUCGAGAGAGGUGAGUGGAAUUCCGAGUGUAGAGGUGAAAUUCGUAGAUAUUCGGUGGAACACCAGUGGCGAAGGCGGCUCACUGGCUCGAACCUGACGCUGAGGUGCGAAAGCGUGGGGAGCAAACAGG
Molecule: ribosomal RNA, 233 nt
Filed under: uncultured bacterium
Lineage: Bacteria
Description: partial 16S ribosomal RNA
Rfam family: Bacterial small subunit ribosomal RNA
Source: RNAcentral